GCGGACGUGGUGAAAUUGGUAGACACGUUAGAUUUAGGAUCUAAUAAGUAUAACUUGUGAGAGUUCGAGUCUCUCCGUCCGCA
Molecule: transfer RNA, 83 nt
Filed under: Pleonosporium borreri
Lineage: Eukaryota; Rhodophyta; Florideophyceae; Ceramiales; Ceramiaceae
Description: tRNA-Leu
Rfam family: tRNA
About the family: Transfer RNA (tRNA) molecules are approximately 80 nucleotides in length. Their secondary structure includes four short double-helical elements and three loops (D, anti-codon, and T loops).
Source: RNAcentral